AUACGGAGGGUGCGAGCGUUAAUCGGAAUUACUGGGCGUAAAGCGUGCGUAGGCGGUUUGCUAAGUCAGAUGUGAAAGCCCCGGGCUUAACCUGGGAACUGCAUUUGAUACUGGCAGACUAGAGUAUGAUAGAGGGGGGUAGAAUUCCUGGUGUAGCGGUGAAAUGCGUAGAUCUCAGGAGGAAUACCAGUGGCGAAGGCGGCCCCCUGGAUCAAUACUGACGCUGAGGUACGAAAGCGUGGGGAGCGAACAGGAUUAGAAACCCUAGUAGUCC
RNAcentral lists this ribosomal RNA (274 nucleotides) under uncultured bacterium. Its description in RNAcentral is "partial 16S ribosomal RNA". It matches the Rfam family "Bacterial small subunit ribosomal RNA", at positions 523 to 796 of the family's 1533-position model. The record is from RNAcentral.